This 329-nucleotide unclassified non-coding RNA is filed under the name soil metagenome. Its description in RNAcentral is "partial contains 5.8S ribosomal RNA, internal transcribed spacer 2, and large subunit ribosomal RNA". The stretch from base 1 to 120 matches the Rfam family "5.8S ribosomal RNA", at positions 35 to 154 of the family's 154-position model. The record is from RNAcentral.
GAUGAAGAACGUAGCGAAAUGCGAUAAGUAAUGUGAAUUGCAGAAUUCAGUGAAUCAUCGAAUCUUUGAACGCACAUUGCGCCCCUUGGUAUUCCGAGGGGCAUGCCUGUUCGAGCGUCAUUAUAACCCCUCAAGCUCAGCUUGGUGUUGGGGCCUGCUGCACUGGCAGCCCUUAAAAUCAGUGGCGGCGCCAUCUGGCUCUAAGCGUAGUAAUUCUUCUCGCUAUGGAGUCCUGGUGGAUGCUUGCCAUCAACCCCCAAUUUUUCUAUGGUUGCCCUCGGAUCAGGUAGGGAUACCCGCUGAACUUAAGCAUAUCAAUAAGCGGAGGA